Poecilia latipinna (sailfin molly) is the source of this 1225-nucleotide long non-coding RNA. RefSeq lists it as uncharacterized. The transcript is spliced from 3 exons. The record is from RefSeq and is a predicted model, not a curated record. Lineage: Eukaryota; Metazoa; Chordata; Actinopteri; Cyprinodontiformes; Poeciliidae.
AUCUUUAAUCCAUAAAAAAUGAUCUGUGUGGUUCUUACAGUAUCUGUUUUGCCCAAAAGGUUCCAAUCACAUUUCUAAGUCAAGUUGCUGACUGAUAUUUGUAUAUAUAGUUUGUGAGAUAUUCUGAUUUGCCUUUUACUUUAUUCACUAAGUGAAUAUAAUUAAGUGAAAUAAAUUGCCUUUCGAUUCUAGUUUAUUGACUUUCUGUGUAUAAAUAUUUAUCUCUACACAGGAUGAAACGGCUGACUGAUGGAUCGGGUCUGGUGUUAUUUCACUUUCUGGAUGAUCAGGAUCUUUCAGAUCUCAUCUACCUUCUGAUCCGAUGGAGCUGCUGCAGGAACACACUGAUCCUCUAACAGGAUCCUCAGAUCCAGGCAUCGAUGUCUGGUGUCCUGCAACAUUUAGAUACGUCCUGGUCCAACACGCCUGAAUUAAAUGGCUGCUUAGGACAGUCAAGUCCUCCAGAGUCGUGCUAAUGACCUCUGACCUCAUGAUUUGACUCAGGUGCAUUAAAGAAUAGACAUCUAAAGAUUGGAGGACACCGACCCUUAUAAACUGGAGUUAAAGCCCUGCUGUACAAUUUUCACUUAAUCGUAAUUACAUUUAUUUGCGUACAGUGGAAAUUUUACCUGUGUUGAGGUAGAUGAGUUUACAUAGCGUCUUUACUUUAAAACCAUUUUGGUUUCCAUUUGUUGAAAGUAAAUUACAAACAUUUAGCCAUAGUUUGACCACUGCUUUAUGACAGAAAAAAAGUUUGAUGUCACAAAUAUAUGAUUUUAAUAGAGGCAUCAUUCAAUUUAUACAGUAGAAAGAAGAUGACAAGUGUUUCCUGAAUUAACUUUAAUGUUCAUUUCACUGCACACAAAGGACAGAUUAAAUAUUUAAGAUUGCAACAAAUCUGUUGAAUCUUUAACAAAAUAGGUUCAGAUUAACAUGGGUGGAUUCACAGCUACCUAAAGUUAACAAUGAAAUGUCUUCAAACUUACAUGGAUGUUCAAAUAUUUACUAUAAUCAAUUAACAAAAGAAAACACCAUAAAGCUGUGUAUUCAAAUACGACCAAGGCCAGUCUGUACAGAUUGAGGAUAUACCAUAACAUCUACCAACAGAGCAGGUUAACUACUGUAGUUUGAAAGGCAUCUUGGUUCAGUUGACGGCUCAGUUUGAAGCUUCAGGUUUUGGUGUUGAACCUCCUGGAAUCUCAGCUGCUGCAGAUUGGUUCAGAGA